ACCCUCUGGCAGUGGGCAAAGAGACACCUUGUUGUUGUUGUUCUUAUUAUCAGUCAGGGGCAGAGCAGAUGCAAUCCUUUGUUUGUCUUAGCUCCAUGCUUGGCUUGGUGGCCAAAGCUGUUUUAUGCCUAGAACACAUAA
Molecule: small nucleolar RNA, 141 nt
Organism: Mastomys coucha (southern multimammate mouse)
Lineage: Eukaryota; Metazoa; Chordata; Mammalia; Rodentia; Muridae
Product: small nucleolar RNA SNORA48
Exons: 1
Source: RefSeq, a predicted model, not a curated record